Molecule: ribosomal RNA, 440 nt
Filed under: uncultured bacterium
Lineage: Bacteria
Description: partial 16S ribosomal RNA
Rfam family: Bacterial small subunit ribosomal RNA
Source: RNAcentral
CCUACGGGAGGCAGCAGUAGGGAAUAUUGCUCAAUGGGGGAAACCCUGAAGCAGCAACGCCGCGUGGAGGAUGAAGGUUUUCGGAUUGUAAACUCCUUUUGUUAGAGAAGAUAAUGACGGUAUCUAACGAAUAAGCACCGGCUAACUCCGUGCCAGCAGCCGCGGUAAUACGGAGGGUGCAAGCGUUACUCGGAAUCACUGGGCGUAAAGAGCGCGUAGGCGGGAUAGCAAGUCAGAUGUGAAAUCCUAUGGCUUAACCAUAGAACUGCAUUUGAAACUGGUAUUCUAGAGUAUGGGAGAGGUAGGUGGAAUUCUUGGUGUAGGGGUAAAAUCCGUAGAGAUCAAGAGGAAUACUCAUUGCGAAGGCGACCUACUAGAACAUAACUGACGCUGAUGCGCGAAAGCGUGGGGAGCAAACAGGAUUAGAUACCCUUGUAGUC